AACUCGCUUUGUGUUCCUGUUAUCUAUGAUUCAAAGAGAAUUGUGCUGUCUCUGCCGCCAAUUAUCAAUGAAGCACAUCCGGCAAAAACUUUAAAGACGAAAAAUGUUCUCAUUGAAUGUACUGCGAUGGACUUAACAAAGGCUAAGAUAGUUCUAAAUACAAUGGUGACAAUCUUCUCAGCAUACUGUGGGAAGAAGUAUGAAUUUGAACCAGUUGAAGUGAUAUACUCUAAUGGGGAGUCAUGUGUUUAUCCUGAUUUGUCACUAUACAAUAUGGAAGUGUCCUUAUCUUAUGUCAACGAUUCAAUUGGAGUCGCCUUGAAAGCUGAAGAGGUAUUGUGAAUAUUCAUUUCAAGCUGGAGUUUAAAUGUUCGCAUUAGGUGGAUGUGAGCUUAUAUUAGAGUUGGUUGGUUAUAUUAUUCUCUCAUCAGUUGAGUUAAAUUUUUUGUUCGCCAUUUGCUAUUGUGCUAUUUUGUUGCUACAAUGAUAUCUAACAAUGACCUUGUUUUAUUUAUUGGGUGGCCAUCUCUCUCGCUCACUCUCUCUCUAUCUCUCACCUGAAUGGUGUGCGGUGGUCGCCUUUGUAUCUCUCAUGGGUGCGCAUGAGAUGGAGAAUCAAUUACGGCGGUCUUAAGUGACCAUUGUGACGGAGACGACCGCCACCAUGGGGUCGUUGUGGUGUUGGUGUCGCUUGCCAUCAAGGAGGACAUCGCUGUUGUCCUAGAGUUUCGGGGGCAGUAAUUAGGUCUAGGUUUUCUUUUUGUUUGUUUGAUUUCUUUUCUAAUCCUAGUAUUUUAUAUUGUAAUUUUUCAGUAAUUUAUAUUAGAAAGCAUCCGUAGUACGUACGAUUAUAUAUGAAAUGAGUCAUCAGAUAAGUGAUUUGAUA
Long non-coding RNA from Eucalyptus grandis, 886 nucleotides. RefSeq lists it as uncharacterized. Lineage: Eukaryota; Viridiplantae; Streptophyta; Magnoliopsida; Myrtales; Myrtaceae. The record is from RefSeq and is a predicted model, not a curated record. The transcript is spliced from 3 exons.